Molecule: long non-coding RNA, 1007 nt
Filed under: Callithrix jacchus (white-tufted-ear marmoset)
Lineage: Eukaryota; Metazoa; Chordata; Mammalia; Primates; Cebidae
Description: lncRNA (ENSCJAG00000078162.1)
Source: RNAcentral
GGAGGAGGUUGGCCCCCGAGGGGACGGAGCGAGAUGGGGGUGGGGAGCACUGAACACUGGGCUGGGCUUCUGCAAGACCGAAGGGCAGAUAGAGGCCAUAUGAGUCUGCGCGGAUUGGGAAUGGGAUUCAGGAGUGGACUACAAGUCCCAGUAGGGUGUGUGGCCACGGCUCUCAGGCUUGGAUCGGGAUUGGAAUAAAAGGCGGUGUUCAGAGAAAGAGAGCUUGCUGCACCCACUGGGGCUUGCGGUUUAUGGGGGCGUUGUAUCGCUAUAGGAAGGAAUUGGGCGCGAAUGAUUUGGGGAUAAGGGAAAAUACUUCGCGGCUUCCAGACGGAAGGUGUAUUUCGUACUCUGGCACCUGCCCCGAGUCCUGCCCCUCCACCAGAGUUGUCAACACGGUUUACUUGGCCCGAGCUCCUGCGAGAUAGGUGCCGCUCUGUUCACCUUGGUCGAACCCGCCACCCCGCUUCUGCACACUUACUUGGCACCAUUCAUGGUGAAUGUAUCCUGCUUUCUCCCAUCCCAUUUAGUCGUUUCAUUACAUAAAUGUUUCAACAAACUGUUUGCUGAAUCGAAUUUUUCUUUCUUGAUAUGAUAUUGGGGGAGAGAGGGGAGUUUUCCUCAGGAAUAUUCCCUAUUUCCAUCUGCUGGAACCAGAUCUCCAAUGACUGAGCUUCUGAAAGGCACAGACCAUUAUGAAAUCCUGAUAUAUUGUCUUAAAUAAUUUAUUAUAAUCUGUGCAGGUCUUUUUUUUUUUUUUUAGACGGAGUUUUGUUCUUGUUGCCCAGGCUGGAGUGCAAUGGCGCGAUCUCGGCUCACCGCAACAUCUGCCUCCUGGGUUCAGGCAAUUCUCCUGCCUCAGCCUCCCGAGUAGCUGGGAUUACAGGCACUCGCCACCAUGCCCAGCUAAUUUUUUGUAUUUUUAGUAGAGACGGGGUUUCACCAUGUUGACCGGGAUGGUCUCGAUCUCUUGACCUCGUGAUCCACCCGCCUCGGCCUCCCACAGU